CUCUUACCUAUCAGGAAAUUAAAAUUUUAAGGGCUAAUUCCCCUUCAUUCAAGAAAUAUUUACUGUGAUGAAGACAUGUUCCAUGCAGAGGAAAUGGCCAAUGCAAAGAGCCCCUGACUGGAGGGCAUUUGGCACAUUCUAGGAGAGUGAGGAGGAUUCUAUGGGCCAGGAAUUCAGACAGGGCACAGUGUUGAUGGCUUGUCUGUGUCCCGGCUGGGAUGGCUCAAAUGGUUGUGGGACUAUUUGACUUGAAAGGCUGGAGCCUGGAAUCAUUUGAAACAUUGUUCACUCAUGUGUCUGGCACCUGCGUUAGAAUGACUGAAGGCUACAUCAACUAGAGUACUUACAUCCGGUCUCUCCAUGUGACUUGGACUUUUCACAGCGUGGAGGCUGGAUUUCAAAGGUCAACUGAGAAUGGCAGAGGACUCAUCCCACCUUUGCCACAUGGUGACUUUCCCCACUCCCCCAGGUAACCUUGCUCGUGCAUGUGGAUAUUUGCUCAGAUUAAGAAUGUU
Molecule: long non-coding RNA, 515 nt
Filed under: Pan troglodytes (chimpanzee)
Lineage: Eukaryota; Metazoa; Chordata; Mammalia; Primates; Hominidae
Description: long non-coding RNA NONPTRT010931
Source: RNAcentral